GUACUGUGCAAACGUUGUUCGGAAUCACUGGGGGGCUUAAAGGGGUACGUAGGCGGGCCAGUUAAGUAGGGGUGUGAAAUCCCCCGGCUCAACCGGGGAACUGCGCUCUAAACUGACUGGCUUGAGUGAGAUAGGGGUGUGCGGAACUUCCAGUGGAGCGGUGAAAUGUGUUGAUAUUGGAAGGAACGCCGUUAGCGAAAGCGGCACACUGGGUCUCAACUGACGCUGAGGUACGAAAGCCAGGGUAGCGAACGGGAUUAGAUACCCCGGUAGUCCUGGCUGUAAACGUUGAGCACUAGUCGGGAGGGGUUUCGGCCCUUCCGGACGCAGCGAAAGCACUAAGUGCUCCGCCUGGGGAGUAUGGUCGCAAAGGCUG
Molecule: ribosomal RNA, 376 nt
Filed under: uncultured organism
Description: partial 16S ribosomal RNA
Rfam family: Bacterial small subunit ribosomal RNA
Source: RNAcentral